Molecule: long non-coding RNA, 25483 nt
Organism: Myiozetetes cayanensis
Lineage: Eukaryota; Metazoa; Chordata; Aves; Passeriformes; Tyrannidae
Exons: 4
Source: RefSeq, a predicted model, not a curated record
GAGAGGAAAGGCCUUCCAUGAACUAAAAAUGAAAGGAUGUGAGUUGCUGUGGUGAGUCCAGCCUAUUUGUGGGUCUCCAGAUGGAGGGCUAUGAAGCCAAAGACUUUUUUCCCCCUCUGCUCUCGCUAUCAGCUGUGAGUUGUAGAGGUUACAGAAGCCAUGAGAUUCCCCCAAAGAGUAGGGAAUCCUAAACACUGUGACAUAAUGUGAUGUGAUGUGAUGUGAUGUGGAGGACUAACAACCUGGGCAAAUCUUUAAUCUGAGAUACACAAGAGAGUCAUUAAUACUCCAGCCUCUGUAAUGAUGAUGCCAAGCAUUAUUUUCCUAAAAUGGGAGCAAACAAAGAUGUGUUUCUUGGGCCAUCCUGCAACCUGAGCUUCUUCCACCUGGUUUUCCCUUUCCUAUCAAUAGACUGUGUCCUUCUGCCACAUUUAUCAGCAGUGAGGUGGGAGGACCAACCAAAAAUUCCAGAAAAGGCAAGCAGCCAAACAUCUAAUAAUACUUUUUAAAGCACCAGAAAAACAUAAUCUAAAUAUAUAAUUGACAGAGAAGAGCACCUUGGAAUAAGAGCACUAAAAGCACAGAUCUGCCACCUAAACCUUGACAACUGCACUUUUGCUGGUUCACCUCCAAUGUGCUGGUGGAGCCGAAUCAUUAGAUACCAAUAAUUAGAUUUCUGUACAUUAAGACCUGCCUUUAGAUGUUCUCCUCCUCGCUUAUGUGGUUUUUUCAUACACUGCUUUUAUGUGUUCCUUUUAGCAUUAUGCACAAGUCAGACUCAUUCUGACAACACAUGCAACAUUACAAAGAGAUGUUGUAAAAUAAACUCAGAAAAAUGGAAGAAUGCUUUUUUUUUUUUCAAUAUUAUGAUUAGAAACUGGUAGAAGAACCAGUGUUCAGGUCCAUGUGAGGUUAGGGACAAUUCAUGAUUAGUUUUAAGUCUAAUGGCCAAAAAUUCUACAAGGUUCCCAGGAGCCUUACGUUCCAGUUGAGAAUGUCAGCAUGAGAGGAGGUCUUCAGAGUAAUCACAGGUUUUCAAUUCUGGAACCUUGGAGUUUAUAAACUCAGCCAGGAUCUAAAUGUUAGUGCCUGACUUAAGCCCUUCAGACAGGGGAGUCCUUCUGUUAUAGGAGACUGAUACCUGGUUACAGAUGAAAGUACUGAUUUCCUAUUUAAUACAAAUAGCUGACACUUAUAGUACUAAGAAUAUGGCUACUCAAUGACACAGCUGUGUUUUAGCAGUUUGAAGGUGCAGUCUCUUCAUUGCCUGCACUCAUACUGGCAUACAGUGCUCUAGAAGACAAGCACAGCAGAAAUCCUGGAAAUCUUGGAACUUGCUUAACCUAUACUAUUUUUUGCUCAAGCAACUUGAUAGGUAGGCUGAUUUCACUGUCAGCUAAAAAAAACCCAAACAAACCACAAAAACUAACAGAUAGCAAAAAAGCUAUUGAAAAAAUUAAGCUGAAAAUUGAAACGAAUCCAUGGAUGUACAUCCAGAAGUCCAUCGAGAAAACCAAAUUGCAAUGCGUAACAACAGGGGGUCUGAAAGCAUUUCAGAGGGAUCUGAGGGAAGACAGGGUACUGCACAAAGAGGAUCCAUUGGACAUCACACCCCAAACCUUUGCAUUACACUUCUGAGUAGCUGCAGUCUGCUUAUACUUGGCUGAUUUACUUAUCUUCCUUGAAUUCUAGGAGUUGCCCACAGUGAGAGGAAAGAUUAAGUGACAGAUACAGGGGCCAUCCAUCAGAAAUUGGUGCUUUGGGUUCUUGCCUAGUUUGCUUAACAAGUGUAAUGGCUUUGAUGGCCACCCUGACAAGACUAGGCAUGGGUUCCUUGUCAGGAGCAAAGCAACACAUCGGUGAUGGCCAGGCAGCAGCAGUACAUGACAUGCUGCUGUGGAAAUUGCAAACAUUUAAUGAACAUAAACGUCCUGCCAAAUAGACAUACACGAGGAUGGAAAACAGCAGUAAUAAAAGUCACUCAGACUCACCCAUAACAACUCAAAGCUACGCUUGGAGCAUGCACAUGAUUUAAAAAAUGGAUGCAGCAGCUAUUUUCUAAAAAAUCUAAAAUGGAUUUGUGUAUACUACUGACUGCUCUGCAAAAUACAUUGAGAUAAUUAGAUAAAAGUUAUUGAGUGCUCUUAGAGGUGAAUGAGUUGAAUUAAUAUUAGGCUACAAAUUACUGAACCCCCCAAAUGCCCAAUCUUGGUACACUGUGGUUCCUACUUUGGGGUGAAACAGUCAUCAGCGUUUCAAAUGCUCUUAGCAGAAGGCACUGCAGCGGGUCAGGCUGAAAACGACCAUUUUCUCCAUCUUUUCACAACGAUUUGAGGUUCCCAGACUGAAAUAUUAACAGCCUUGCUGAACCAGAAUUAUUCCGCUUCCCUCGCUUCCUGCCUGCUUCUGUCAGAAAGCCACGGAGCAUACAAUGGCAGCGCACAGCUAACCAUAUAAUUGAUAACUCCCCAGUCUAUUCACUGUGGGAAUCUGUCAGUUAAAGCCUAAAGACACACACACACACGCUAUGAAAAUGAACUUACAUAAGUCUCCCUGUGAACUGAAUGCAGCCAACAUUUUGAUGUUUAAUUGGCUGGGUCCGGUUUACCAGCGCACACAUGUAUUCCAGGAGCGGCUCGCUGUACUCGGGCUCUUCCUGACAGAUCUAUUUAGUCAAAAGGAGGUGUAUUUUUCCCCAGGUAAUUGCUCAGAACCAUGCUUCCAAAGUCAAACUGAUUCAAACUUUGCUUAUUCACUCUUUGCAGACACGCAAGUGGGGACUAUUUGAAAGCAAAUGAAAAAUCCAUAGAUCAAUGUGCGGAGCCUUUCCUACACAGUGCCACGGAGGGAGUCUAUUUCAAACAGGGCUGGUUGUCAGCGGCAGUUACUGCCAGCAUCUUUUUAAAUAUACAUCUUUCAGAGCAAUACAGGUCUUUGAGAUAAUGAAAGAUUUGCAACUGCUAUAUUAUCCACCAAGAAGAGAUACAUACACUCAAAUUGGGCAUACUCCCACACGUAGGUUCCUGCUAAGUAGGAGGAAAAAAAGAAAUAAUUGACAGUUAUUCAACUAUUUGUGAAUAUUUUCUACCUAGACUUAUUCCUCUAAUUAAUAGGAUGUGUCUGAUAAAGUGUGAUUGUUAGAGACUUUUUCCUGUGGGCUUGGUGGUUGGAUGUGAAAGCAUUUGGAAGUCAUUUCCCUAUAUCUGACGUGGCAUACAACCCCAAAUUAUUCAUUUUGCACCUCUUUGGCUUCAAGUCAACAACUUCAAAAAGGCUGAGACUGUGUCAUCACAUAUAUGUCACAGAGACUAUGGAUAAAACUUGUGUUUUACUUGCCUACAGAGCAGAAUGGGUUCUAGGUCUUUCUACUGCCAAAACAAAUAUCUACUCGGAAUUUCCUCAAGUCUAGACAUGAAUUUCACCAAUUUAGGCAAUCAAGACAUAUUUGGCUUUCUUCUCUCCCUCCCCUCAAGACUACAAAGAAAUUGAAUGAUUUCCAGAGAUUUCUGGUCUUUCCCAAAUCAUUACUCAAAAUCAUUCUGACGAGGAGGCUUCAGCACUUGUGCUACUCAAGGAAGGACACCAGCUUGUGAAAAAUUUAAUUGCAGGGGGAGAUAAAGACCAUCAGCAUCCUUAUUAGCACUGUCCAGCACGUUUGCACCACAACAUCCACAAGCAGCUUCCUCCUCCCCCAGCUGCUUGGAUCAGGAUGGCACCCCCACUGUGCUGACAAUACUUUUUAUAACUGGUAGUUUUUAAAGGUACCGAAACAUGGUCAGAGAACACCUUCAACUGUACUGGGGAAGGGAAACACUCAUAACCUCUUCUUCACCCCCUGGGUUACAAUCCCUUAUGGUUUCUUGGUUGUAGAUGUUACUGUCAAAUUUUCCUACCGUACCCCAUCAACUUCCAUCCAGGGUUUUAAAAAGAUGGCACCGUGACACAUCUGGGGGAGAGCACCCUGACUACAGGGAAGGAUCAUCUAUGUAUUCCCAGAAUUAAAGCACUUCUUCCUGACACCAUUCCCAGAGUGCACCUUCAAGCCCUUCCUUUUCCAAGACAAUUAUCCAAAGGACUAAGUGCCCCCUCACAGCUUCACACCUUCACCUUCACCUCCUGGAACACCACACGCUUCAGAACCUGCAGGGCCUGCUUACAGUUCACAUAAACACAGGAAUAUUUUUCCAAUUUACGUCUUCUUUUUCUCUUCUGAAAAUAUAAGCUAAUGGAAAAAAAUAUUUUCACAAGUUAUUACUACACAUUAACGAUAAAACUAGGGAGCAUUAGUUCCAGAAGGGCACAUUUUCAGUAAUGAUGAAGAAGGACAUAUAAAUUACCACCACAGAGCUUCACAGGUCCAUUUCUGGGCCAACCAUGAUUAAAUUAACUACAAAAAGACACUUGACACCACCAGCGUAACACUUGACUGAAUUUGGGACUCGUGUAGGGAUCUCACUGAAAACUAGGACGUUAAACAAACCACUUGUGCAAUAUUAACCACAUUCAUGCGUAUUAUUUAAUGCAGUGGGGUGCUUAUUACAUUGUUAAUGUUUCAACAAAACAAAAUAAAUUGUGCCUUCAUCUCCAUCCAUGGCUCUUGUAACAAACUGGAGUUUUUUCCAAAUGCAUGGCCUUGAAAAAAUAAACUCAAGCUUUUCACUGAACUAGUUUUUAAGAAGGCAUAGCUUGUUUUAGAGAUUCCAGCUAUUAGUCACUUAACAUUUAUAAUUAUUUGAUUCAUCAGAUAGUCAUAAUUCACCACCUGAUCUGGAAGCUGGUUAAUCAACUGACUGUUUUAUUCCUAAGUAUUUCAGUAUAUUUGACCAAAUUCAAUGAAUGACUACUUUAUCAAUUCCUUUUGUUAACAGGCUGGUUUCUUCAUUGGGCUUAAUUUAAUUUGAUUUCACUGUAACAGCUGACAUAUGGGGAGAUUAAAAAAAUCUAGGGUACCUCUGCACAAAAGCAACUUCUUGGAAGCAGGAUAAAGACAUCCAGAGAACUAUGUUUUCUGCCUAAUUUUUUUUUUUGCCUCUGAAAAAACAAAGCCACUUGAAAGAAGAAAGUUAAGAGUAAAUUAAUUGCUUAACAAACCAUAAAAAAACAUAGAAAAGAACUAAAAAGAGAAUAGGGACAUUCAAACUAGUGAAAAUUCAGGUCUAUUUUUAAUAAUUGGAGUUCUUAGGGGCAUAAGAAUUAUAUAUCAGUUUAAAAGCAUGAGUAAUGUUUUGAACUUUACAGCAAAAGAAUAAAAAGUCUCUAUCAAUUCUUUUCUCCCCUGGAAAAAUAAUUUCCCCUCAAAGGCCACAUGCUUCCCAUAACAUGUUUUCAGAACUGAACACUCAGAGUUGAAAACUUUCAUGCACAGAGCAAAAGGCUCAGGGGAAAAAAAAAAAGAAAAGCCACCACCCCAUCCCAGAAAUAAACCUGCCAUUGCCAUACCCUUGUGAGACCGUAGGAUAAUAAAACCUCAUUGUUUUUUGUUUAUCAGAUGAUAUAAGUUAUGAAUUUUUAAAGGAGUGUCUUUUACAGCAGACAGGUUAUUUCUGUAGGCUAAUUUUUCAUAGCCACUUUGCAUUGAAACCUCCAGCUUCAUGAAGAUGAUAUUUCUAGAACAAUUCUAUUUUUCUUCUUUUAUCACCUUAGUAGUCUUUUCCCAGCUGUAUCCACAGGGGAAUGGAAAUACCCAAUUGCAAACGUGACAGCGCUGACUUCUGCAAAGUAGCUUAAUUACUCAUUACGAGAUUCCAUCAACAGAAGCUCCGGUCUGUGGUUUUGUAAUAAGUGCUGUUAUCUUUCCUUGGAUUUUCAUUCCUUCACAAAGGGGGAUAUGGCAGUGCUUUCCACAUCCACAUUUUAUACGGAGAGGAAUGAGAGAAUUUUAAUGCAUGAAUUUGAUGUCAUUAACAAUGCUGACAGCUGUUUAAUCCCAGAGGAAACAACAGCUGAGUCCCAACUGCACCAACAAAAAAAAAAUUAAAAAAAGUAAAAUAAAAUAAAUUAACUCUUCAGUGCAUCUCACUAGAGUUACAGUAUGAAUCAAAUGUUUCACACCCUGACUACAUUUUUUUGUCAAUUAUUUAGUUACAGAAUCCGUAACCUUGACUGAUAACAAAAACAAAAGCUACUCCAUCCUGACUGCUAGACUUGAGUUCAUAGAACAGAUUUAAUAAAUGGUCCUGUUCUAAAUUUCCUGUUAAUUAAAAUUAAAUCCUACCUCAAUCACAAAGUGAAAUAAACCAGCACAACAACAACAAUAAUAAUAAGUAUAAAUAUGGGUGAAGCUGAGCUCCUGAAAAAUAACAUAGAUUAAUCCGAAAGGGGUGGUAUAAAAACUACAUUUAAAAUGGAUCCUCCAGUAGAAGUAAAAAAUACAACACAUGUUAUGCUGCAACUCUGUUACCAUUUAAUUUAAAAUAGGAGGUUUAGAUACGAGCCAAUGACAGCAAAUUUGCUUUUGUUCUGUUCCUCCACACACAUGCCCACACUACAAGGACUUUUUAAGGGUAUGGAAUGAAAAGGAGUAUUUAUAACAUGUAUAUUUAGAAUAUGUACACACACUUCUUUAAUCCAUCUAUUUUUUCAUUGGCUAUGGCAUCGUUUCCCAUGUCCAUAUUUUUUUUUGAGUUUUGCCACUGACUUCAAUAUUAAAAGACACAGGCGAGAGCUGAUUAAGACAUAUCUUUACAAUCCACAGUCCUCGUGUAACAGAUAAAGCUUCAUAAGCCCUGCCUUGGGAAGGCUCCCACUCAUUUAGAACACUAGACUUUAAACAGAUGUCUAAAAGUAUUCAUGUUAUAAACAGCAACAUUAUAUGAAUUUAAAUCUCGCUCUUUGUCUGACCAUCCUCUCUUCAAUAGCAGCUGUUUCCCUUCAUCUGGGAGAGGGGGCUGCCUUCGUGGCUCACCCAGGGCUCCCCUUUCCCGGGGACGUGGCCACCCCUCUCCUCCCACGUCCGAUCCCUGAUCCCAGGGAGGGCUCUGGGGGACUGAGAUGUCCGAGUGUGACAGCACAAGUCGGACGAGCUUUGAGGUCUGGGAGAAGCAGCGUGUCAGCAGGUUGAUGAACUUGAAAUCCCGGCAUCAUGAAGAAUGCAAAGGUCUCCCCAUUAGACUAAACGAGGCGACUUCGGGCACGGAAAAUGUGCUACUCAAAUACCUCAUAACAAGACAGGCAGUCAUAUUUUCUUGCAGUUAAUACGGCAGAGGGGGAGGGGAAAACAGAUUUUUACCUUUUGAUGUUCGGAAACAGUUCAUUCUCAAUAGGGGAAUAUUAUGUGACAAAUGUGCCAGACUUCUUUUUUUUUGUGGUAAUAUUGCUCUUUGCAAAUGGCACACAUCCAAUCCAAUUGAAUGUAAUAAAAUGAAACAAUCUGUGCCAUCUUCAAUGGGUUUAAUCUAUACCAUGUUAAUGAAUCCUUAAACAGACGUGCAUGAUGUUUUCCUGAAAUACAUGUAGUUAUACUGUGCUCAGUAUACUUGUCAGCUUGAAAAUAAUUUCUGCUUGAGAGACCACCUGCUAUCAUCAUCCUAUUUAGAAGCAGCUCAUAUUUAUUUGGAAAAAGAGAAAUAAUAGUUAAAUAAAGAAGUGACUUCUCUUUACCCAAGCAAGGACAGUAAAAUGGCUUGGAUCCUCUCUGCACACUCAGGGAUAAUUUUUUUCCUUUGCACCAGCUGCUUCCAAAAAUUUCUGGUAUAUUUGUACUAAUACAGCAAUAGGCAAAUGCUGCUUAUUCUCAACUAGCAGGAAAUGGGGGAACACCAUUUCCAUUCUGAUAAGCUAAAACAUUAGAGUUGAAAAGAUGAAGUGAGUUAUGUGACAGGUUUCAGACAUUAUGCCAUAUGGGUUUCAUUACAGUGUAUCAUAUAAUUUUAAGUUAUUAAAUAUGCCAGAAAAGCAUACUUGUACUUGAUGAAACACCCAAAUACUAAGUAUACAGUAUAUUUUUUCUCCUAUUUAGACUUUGCAAAUGUAACAAAGAAAUAUUAUGCUUCUACUCCCUGGCAUUUAUUUGCUGUAAAGAUGGAGGAAAGUAGAUCAACUUUUCCUAAAAAGACACCUAAAACAAACCAUAUUUUUCUGGCAAAUGCCGUUAGCAAAACCACUACUUUUCACCCACAAAGAUAUAAAGGAAUCAAUCCAUAAGGUUGUGAGAAACUGGAUGAGCACCAGAAUACAAUGUAUAAAAGGACACCUAAAGAAUAUUCAGCACAUAAACCCAAAAAUCCACAAACUCACCAACUAUCUGCCCAAACUGAGGUGCAUGACUUGUCCAACCGACUGUGUGAUGCUAAUGGGAUGAUAUUUAGGUUAAUUUUGAAUUUAUGUGAUUUUCUGGUUUAAUAACACAAGUGUAAAAGGGUGAAGUUUACCAUCAUGCAGAGGAAUCAAGAAAUACAAUUUUCACUCUUUACUGCAAUAGAAUAUUUUUUAAAAAAAAGAGACAGGAGGAGACAGAAUGGAAUAGCUACAUGCCAGGGGAAUAUUUGCAUGCCAGUUACUCAUGUGCUAAUCUGAACCACGAACUUUAGAAAGUAAAUUUUACCAAGGUACAAUAAGAGUUUUUCUAUUUCAUAAAUAAGCACAUUUAGGCCACAUACUCGAUAAAAAUGUAAUUUGCAGACUAUAUGUUGUGGGUUUUCUUACUUUUACUGGACUAGAAUGUCAUCAUGUACAGAACUGACAUUGAUUUGAACAUCAUCAGGGAAAAACAAGUUUUGCAAUGAUGAGGAAUCCGUAACUGAUACUGGCCACCAAACCUCAGACAUUUACUCUUCUCCUUGACGUAUAACAUAAAUUUUAUACCAGCUUGCUGUUGUGAUCAGGUUCAUCUCAUUCUACAUAUAUAGAUGAUCUUCAGUUUCUUUUGGCAGGAAAGCCCCUCCUACUUGACAGCAGAGGUGACAGCACUUAAUAGAUGGCCAGAUGAUUUUCCUUUCUGAGCAGGAGAAUUUGCUCCCUUUUUAUACCCUCAUAUUUGUGUAUAACUCUAAAGGUGGAGAGAACUAACUCGAUGUCAUAAGAAAAUUCCAGCUGGGAAGAUACUACAGGAGCAGUGGGGUAGAGCCUAUGUGCUGGUGUUCUCACUGAACAAUUCUACGUGACAGAAUUUUUAUGCUCAGCCUUAACAUGUUAACUGCAAUAGGGGUUUUUUUGGUGAAAAAUAAGUUUUUUGGGUUUUUUUUUUCCUCUCUUUAAGAGGAUGAUUGCUCACCUCUAUAAUGGGUUGCUGCCACAACACGUUUUACAUCAAGUUAUCUUAAGAAACCACAUGGAAAUGUCAGUUGUGUUACUGCUAAGUGGCAUUUCUGAUACAGCACAUCCGAGUAGCUGGACCUCAGAGACUUUGCUAAUUUGUUUUCUGGUGUAAUUCCAAGUGUUGGUUUUUAAAGUGAGAAAUGCUUUAUUGUGUUUUCUGUGGUGACUUUUACAGAAUCCUUCUGUGUGUGUUCAAAGGUGGAAGCUGAGGCUACUGAACCCUGGAGCUGACAAUGCCUUCAUCUGCAUGACUGGGAGUAAGGUUAUUGUCACUACAGAAACUCUUCCUUCCCCCCACAUAAAGUCUUAUUUUUACAGGGCCACGAAAACCCAAAUCUAAAUCCACACUUCCUCUCAGCUCACGAUGGAAAGAUUAAAAGCAUCAGCAGAGCCAUCAAGAGGUGACACUGUGGAUCAUCACAACCCUGGAGACAUCCCUGGGACAUCGAAUUUCUCGCCAAGGGGUUGUAGGUAGUAAAAGACACACAUCUACGUGCUCAGUGAACACAGGAGCAGCACAGCAGAGCGGUGCCCAUGACCAGGGGCAAUUUUGCUUCAACUACCAUCACCUUUAUCUUUCCAUCAAUUCCAGUCAAAACACGUUUCCCAAAAUCAAGGCCUUUCUCCUUGGCUCAUUACAGUUGACCUCUUGCUACAUAAUGAGGCAGAGAAUGCCCUGCAAUAUUGGAAGUAUGUAAGAAAUAGUUGGCUUCAUACCCAAACCAGAAAACUGAGGCUCAGUGUGUGUCCACAGCUAAACAAAGGUAAGUUAAAAAUUCAUAUUUUCAAGCUUGUCUUGAAUUUUCCUGUAAUUGUAACAUAAAAAGCCCUAAUUAUUAGGGAAGAAAAAACAUAGAGGAUCCUCCCCUCAUCCCAAGAUCACAUGGUGGGGGAUGCAAAUGCAAUAUAUGGUAGGAAUAACAAAUGCUUUAUUUUCCAAGCACUCUCCCAUGAUUUAUGAAAGGUGUUCCUCACUGUGGGAAGAUAAUGCCAUUUGAAAUGGUCCAUUUCAUAAAUCUAUCCUCCUCAUCCCUAGCUGCGUGCAGGACUACUGUGAGCUCCUGAAUCCAAUAACGUUUUCAUCCUCUAUUGACAAAAAAAAAAAAAAUAAAAAAAAUUAAAAAAGGACUUUGUUUGGAGUGAGGUAAUGAUGCAGUUGUAGAGGAGCAGCGGCUAAAGCUCGCUCUCAGGGGCUUUCCUUGGCACAGCCACACAGCUGCAAGGGAGAGGAAACGAGUAUAAACAGAGAGAAGAAACAAUCAACACCUACUACAUCCCUGAUGUCUUUUUAGCGCUAGUGGCAUUAAUUAUAAUGUAUGCCCGAUCCUCUGCACUGCCACAUAACCAAAUGUUUUGCCUGAAUUUUCUCUCCAUCCCCACAACAGAUUUAUCACUGGGAUCCCAGCUAUUUCCUACUCAUCUGUUCACCAUCCCAGUCUAUCUGCUUGUUUAUUUGCAAGGCUGCUUCCAGAAGAUGUUUCCGUGCCAAAUGUGGUGGUUUCUGCAGACAGGGACUAAUCAUAAACGCAAGAGAAAUUCAUUUUACUGAUUUUUUAUGUUGCAAACAAUGGCAGGGAGUAAAGAGGAAAAUACUUACUAUCCUCGAUAUGAUGGAAAAGUUUUGAGCUGGGACUGAAAACCAUUAGAAGCAAUGCUUGGAGAAUGGGAGUACAGGGAAAUCAAGGGGUAAAAUAUGAGAUGAAAAUGUUUUCGGGAGCAUUUGACGUGUAAAUGCAGCCAACAGAAAUAUUUAAGAGGGUUUUAUAUUAUUUGCGCUAUUUAGGAAGGAAAAGAUGGAAGCCCCACAAGUUUCUCAUUUCAUGUUGGAACAGGGGGUUGUCCUGCUUGGUUUGCCUUCUCUGACACUCUGAAGAGUCAUUAAAGAAAAUUAGGCAUAGAUCAGUCAAUUUUAGAUACCUGCUUAGUUUUUGCUUUUGUUAGGGAGCUGGAAGCUCUACACUGGACCAGCAGCAUGGUCACAGAUUUCAUGAGCCAAUUUUGGCAGGCUUCUCAUCCUGCUGAAGUGAAAUUUAGCGUUUUGACCAAAUUUCCCACCGACUGCUUGAGCAAUGCCAUUUUUCUACACUUUGCUACACACAGUUCCAGAGGCUGAUGAAUGGCCUUUGUAGAACACGAAAUUUCUAUGGCUUUGGCAAGAACUUUACAAACUAUAUACAUGUUUUGAACUGUCACUUUGAGAUCUUAAUUUACAUAUUUUGACUUGUGCAUGAAAAGCAAUUUCAAGGUCAGGCUCUGUGAAGAAAUACUGGGUAACUCCAUUAAAAGUCUACUGGUACUUUGCAUAUUUAUUUUUCUUCCCUGUAGUAUGCACGGGAUCUCAUAAAUCAGGAUAAACAAACAUCAGAGGUCACACAUAGGUGUGCUCAGUGCAUUUCCACACCUAGCAUGAAGGUGUUCUGCAAAUACCUGAUUGCCUCCAGAGUAACAGCAGAGAAACUUUGCUCCCUAAAAUAUGUAUUUAUUUCUAGGGGUACAAGGUUGGGAUGAAGUCUGUCGGGAAGUAUUGAGAAAAAAAAGAAAUUAAAAUCUACAGUCCUUGCACAUUUAUGGAAGGUACAAUCUCUCACAAUACAUGGAGCCCUAACUGUGCCUGUAGCACAGAUUAUACAAAGAAAACAAAAAAAUGAACCAUGAAACAUAAGAAAUCAUAAAGCAACACCAAAAGAAGAAGAAGAAAAAAAACCAACCCAAACCACAAGAUGUUCCCAGCCAUCAUCUCUCUCUAAAGAUGUAAGAUUUUAUCAGAUUGUGAAAGUCUUAUUGCUAACACUUCCUAGAUGAUAUUCUGAAUUCUUCUGGAAAUAUCAUCAGGCAGCAUUGCCUUAUCAACACAGCUCAUCAUCUCCAGGACUGCUGCCUUGGCUGUUCACUCUCCAUCCUCCCAGAGCCAUAUCACUCUUGGAAGCAAUGGAAAAACCCCAAACUCAUUACAGUCACGAGCUUUUAUGUCACACCCGAGGCUACAGAUUGUGGGACUGGAACUCUAAAACACAAUAGAACUGUGAAAGCAGCAUUGCUAAAACAGUAGGGAUGAGAACACCAAAACCAACUCAUUUAGACAGUAGAGAUGACUGCUUUCCACCAACAGAGGUGACAAACUGGAAAAAAGACCAUCCUGUGCUGCUGGAUAACUCCAGGCAAGAUGGUUACUACCUUACUAUCCUGUUUCAACAUUUUGUUUUUCCUUGAAGGCUGCAGCCAUGUGUACAAUAUGGGAUAGGAAUACUGUAUUUGGGGAACUGCUAAAAAUCACUCUCUUUUGGACUCAAGUUUUGCAAGUGGAUCUGUACAAAAGUGGCUGAUGUUUGUUGGAGCACCAACAGGAUAGAGCCCUUUUUAAACGUAAUUAUAGAAAAUAGAUCCUGAAACUUAAAAUCUGCAUCAAAGACUUUUUAUAUAAUGCUAUGGUUAUCCAGAAAUUUAAACAUAUAAUCUUGGUCUUUGUUGAAGCAUAUAAAUUCCCCAGUCAAUUGUGUGCAUGGAGGUUUGUAAACGUGGUUGCUCUAAAAAAGCCCCAACCCCAAAAACCUUUUAUUGUUGUGCUAAAACAUGGUUUUUUCAGAGGGAAUCAUGGUGGCUUUUUUUUUCAUUUCUGGGUGAAACUACCAGUAUCUGAAACUACCAGGAAAAGAAUCUUGAAUAUCAGAGUGCAAAAUCUUAAAAACUUUCCCUACUGGAAGAAGUUGCAGCCCACUGUUCAUGCCUUCUCCAGCUGUGGGAGGCAGGAAGGAGCAAUAAUUUUGAUGUCUAUGGGCAACAAGAGAGAAUCUCCCCUUGUGAACUACAGGCCAAAGGCAGGUCUCAAAAUUCCAGUAGGGUUGGAAGCUUUGAUGGGACAGCACUCCCAGUUUCCCUGUGUUUCAUAAACUGAGUGAACUUCAAUACACAAACUGCCUUGACCAUCCUGACUGACAAACCCCUGGCCUUUAAGAAUGAUUUGAUGUUCGUAAUGAUCAGAUUUCUUCCUAACAUGAAUUAGGACAGGAAUCUCCCAACAGGAUCACAAGCCCCAAGGAACAAUGGCAGGAAUAAGAGGUGCAUACUACAGGACAGUAGUUUAUCACUCCAAACAACUCUCCAUCACCCAAAUUACUGUGCUCCAGUAAACACUCUGUCUCCUUUUUGACCGAGUCAAGAUGAAGAAGGGCUAGCCCACGACUUGGCACAGAACAAGGCAUGAGAGAAUGAGCAAGCCGAGGAUCAAUACAAACAAAAUAGAGGUGACAUUAAUUGCUUGGAGCAUUAAUAGACCAAGUGAGAGAGUAGAAACUAGCUUAGUUUUGAAAACCAAGGGUGUUUGCCUGCCUUUUGCGAUCCACUUUUCCAAGAAUGGACAUAAAUGUCACUUUUGUCUGCCGAGCUCUGCGCAGGCUCUGGCGGAGAGGUGGCAGCAAAAGGUCUCCCCAGGGUGUUCUGCAGGGGGUGGAUGCAGCAUUGGGCCCCCCAGGAUGCAAAAAGAUGAGUUAGUUGUACCACACCGUUGUUCUAUCAUUUUUAAUACUCGGCAGCACGCUCAGUGCCUCUUGAUGGGUUCACUGUAGUUAGUCUAAACUGAAAAAAAACCCACUCAAAACAACAACCAACCACCAAACCCAUGCAAGUCUAAAUAUAUGAAACUUCAGUUUUAAAAGCUUGUUUUUCCAAGGCUACUUGAUCUGUUACUUGGGAUGAAUCACAUUCAGACCACGGCUUCAAUAUUUUUCUUUCAAGAUCAGCAAUUGCUGGACACUUUGUGAUUCUGAAGGAAUAGUAAAUAAAUAAACAAAUAAAUAAAAUUCUAUAGGGAUGUUCUGUGCUGGCAAGACCCAAUGUGGAGCCUCAGUCCUUGUGAGUGGCCUUUGAGAGCCCCCUGUAGCUGCUGACUGGUAAAAAUUGAAGUAGUUUUGUUAUUCUUACUGCAAACAUUUACCUUCUGAAUCCUCUUGCUAAUGAAAUCAGAUGGCAGUGCUUCAGUUAAGUUUAGGUAGCAAAGUGUAGGCUCUGUGCAGCUGUGCUGCUUGGGCCCCUGCUCACCUCCUCUCUACCACGGCAGUAUAUUUAUUUUAACAUUUGACAGUAUCUAUCAGAUUUUAAAGAGCUUGCUUAAUGACCUUUUCCAAAAUCUUCCAUUCAUUUCUUUAGUUUCUCAUUUUCUCUCCCUUUUUCUUUUUAAAAUAAAUUACUGUUAUAAAAACAAAUCCAGCAGAAGGGAAAAUAUUCAGUGCCUAGAAACUGAAAAAUUGAAUAUUUGCUUUUUAUGGGGCACUGGAGUCUUCUAAAAUACAGAACUGCUAGAAAACUUAAAUGCUGAGGACAAAAAAGUUCACUCAGUAGCUCUGCAAAUACACUACAGUUUUGAAUCUCUUUGAAAAAUAAUUUAAAUACUUGUGUUUCAAUUUAUGGUCUUAAAACGCCUGAAAAACACAUUCCUACUUUUUAAAUGGAUUUUUUUAAGCGAGUCCUAAAUACACUUUGAUUAUUUCCAUUCUUGACAUUAUGCCUACUCAGGUAUUUUGCACAGCAAUUUGAAAGCAGAAAGGCAAUUCCUAGCAAUACCAACAGGUAUAUAUUGAUUUAACAAACACCUCCUCUUAAAGAUGCACUUUCUUCUUCCCAUGGAAGAGAAAAUGUGAAUUUAAACUGAAUAAAGCCAAAAGCUAAAACACAUUGUCUAUAAUGAUUUCUUUGAUGGAGAAAGCUCAGGUUCAAGUUCAUUAUCUUGGUAUUUUCAGAAGAGUUUGCCUGCAGCUUUUAGGAACAACAUUUAACUGAAUUUUAUAUGUGAACAUUAAAGAAACAGUAAUGCACAGGUAUAAAAUAAGUGAUCAAACUGAAAGUAAAGUGUUCAGCUUUCUCCCUGUUAGCCUACACUGUUAUUAUCUUUUCAGAAGAUGUCAAAACCUCUUCUCAGGAAUUCUCAUUUUUCAUACAUUUUGGAAGUAGGUACAAUUACUUUAACAGCUCUCUAUAGCACUAAGACAUCUGUAGCAAAAACGGUUAUUUACUUCAAAGCAAGAAGAUUUUUGAAGGCAGAAAGGAAUGACAGGCAGAAACAGAAGGCCAGGGACACCGCUACUGAACUUCUGCGUUUAACAAAAGACAAAUACAAAGAAUAUUUUAUGUAAAUGUGUAUUUACAAAGGACAAACUGCAUUUGUAGGCAUGUGUACCAUAUAACCAGAGGCCAGAGCAAUUAGAAAUUCUCUUUUCAAUUCCCGACUGGAGCUUCAGUGUGGAACACAAACUGGAACGAGCACACAGUCAUUAUGUUAUUUCGUCCAAGUCGGAAUACUGACUCAGUUUUCAGCACAUGCCCCUGAUCCCUUGAAAGUAGGACUCAUAUGAAAAAUAACUCAAAGUCCAAGCCUUGCAAUACCCAGGAAAACACAUCCAUGCAGUGCAGGCUCAGUGGUAAAGGUGGCCAAAGGUACCUAGAGAAAAAAGGGUUCUCAUUGUAAACAGAGCUACAUUUGAAGGAAUGGAACUCACAAACGGCAGGACCGUAGAAAUCUGCUUGGAGAUUGGACACAAAAGUCAUCACAAGCCUGUGGCUGCCUUAAUUUAUGUCUUAAACAUUUAUGUGCAUCCUCCCCUUUUCCUCCUCCUUCCCCUCCUGCUCUUAAAUUUCUCAGCUCUUCAAGAAAACAAACCACUUGUGUCGGUCCCUCCUGCAGUCGCAGCAGCACCGCUGAGAGCACCUCAGUGUACCAGCCUAAAACUCUACUUUGAAGUGUUUUCAAAGCAGAUAAAAACAAGGCAAAAAAAAUUUUUGUUCCACGUACAAAUUCAAGACAUUUUAUGAGAGUCAAAGUGUUAUGCUGGCAUAAGGCUAAAGUGGCAGAACACAAUCCUGCAAGCGAGGAACAGCCUCAUUUGCAUCAAGGAUGGCAGUGGCCAGAGAGCAGGGGGUGCUCAGGUGCUGUAAUAUAUGGUUAUAUUUAUUUUCCUUUAGCAGAAUGAGAACAAGGUACACCUGGCUUUGGUUGGUGUGCACAAAGCAGGCAUCUCCCCUUUCUGAUGCUGCAGAAUUUCUGUCCCUGUUUAUUAUUAGCAGGGCCUUGAUCUCCCAGGACCCCUCUCGUCUGACUCAAGUCCAGGUCUUCCUCUUGGAGCUAUUUUGAUGACUGAUAUGUGCUUUGCAGGUGUGCAUUGUGAUUUGAAGAUAUAAAAAAGCUCACAGGUUCUGUUAAAUUGGAGUAAGAAGAAAUACAAAAAAAGGUAACAAAUAGAAUAAUCAGACAGAGGCUUGGAAAAAAAUGAACAUAUUUGGUGGAAUUUUAAAGCACUUGUUUUAUGACUGAGGUGUAGAUAGACACCCAUCUGCCUGUCAGAUGUGCAAGACAUGCCCAUAUGGUGGCCCUAGUCUCAAUUUUUAUACCUGAACGUUGCUGACUGAUUUUACAGAAAGGUAUAAUAUUAUAUAAUUUGCUGUGGCCUUUUUACAAGUUGAACAGCAACUCAAACAUUGUUAUCUAGCCUGAUCACUUCAUAAACUGGUAUCUAAGAUACUGAAAUAGAUAGGAUAAUUAAAAUAACACACCUGUAUCUAUGAUAAUUUGUCCCUCUGGUGUUUAGUCCCCUUAUCUUCCAUGAUAUAUUUACAGCAUUUUCAUCUCAAUACCAUUUUAAUUACUAAGUGAACAAAAAAUUCCCUUUCCACAGUAAAACACACUUUUACUGUUUUCUAUUGCAGCUAAAAAAGGAAACAUAUAUAAAACCUUGGACACAGACAGUUAAUCAAGCUUAACCAAAGGCUAAUAACAAAGCAAGCAAAAUGGAAAAUAUAUAUGCUGGUGUCCUACUCUGCACUGCCACACAUUUUAUUAAAGAACAAGCUUAAUUUUUUUCAGGAUUGUAGAAGAGGCUUCAGCUCCAACAUUCAGAACAGCCUAUGGAGUCAGGAACAUUCUUCACUGCACUAUCCUACCAGAAUCUAAUUUUUAGUUGGACAUAAAAUUAGCUUGAAAGUUACUUUUUUCCUCCCUCACUUCUGUGUUCAGGGUUCAGCUCCCACAGACACCUGCCAGGUGAGGAGACAUCAAGUUCACAACCUUCAUGCUCCAGGGAGACAACUGCUGUACAACCAAACACAGAGAAAUAAACCUGAGGAGAACACUUCUGAGUGCCACCAAGCUGCUGAGCUACAGCAGCACCGACUGCCAUAAAGCCUUCCAGCAGCAAAACACGGGUUUGGAGGAACAGAGAACAGCUUCUUAACCCAUCAGGACAAGCACAACACUACUUCUGCAAAUACAUCAGAUUUGCAUAGAACAGAAUCAAUUAGGUUGGAAAAGACCUUUAAGAUCAUUGAGUCCAACUAUUAACCAAGCACUGCCAAGGCCACAUCUAAACCAUGUCCCCAAGUCCCACAUGGCUUUCAAAUGCCUUCAGAAGUAGCAGCUCAGCCACUUCCCCGGCCAGCCUGUUCCAAUGCCUCACAAUCCUUUCAGCAAAGAAAUUUUCCCUAAUAUCCAUUCUAAACCUCUCCUGGCACAUUUUGAGGCUGUUUCCUCCUGUGCCAUCACUUGUUACUUGGGAGAACAGACUGACUCCCACCUGGCUACAACUCUCCUGAGCCUCUUUUUCUCCAGACUGAACCCUCCAAGCUCCCUCAGCCGCUCCUCAUCAAGUCUUUGCUAUUUGCACAUCUGUUCUCUUUUUGGCCUGAACUUGAACUAUUUGUAAAGUUCCAAACAAAGCCACUCUAAAAGAAGGUGGAUUAUUUCCUUGUGAAGCAGGCAAUAGAAUUUGAUCUUUUCCUGGAGAAAAGUCUUUCCAAAACUCUGAGCUGCUACACUGGGGUCUCACCGCCCUGCGUGCACACACAGGCUCAACAAAUGAAGCAUCUGUGGCGCGCUAGGAUGGGAGCUCAACACCUGUAACACCACUCAGAGGUGCUGCAAAGGUACCAGGGAGCAGUUUUGGUUUGCAUCUAGAAAACCUGCAGCUGCUCCAACCAGGAGAGCCCUCACUCCAGCAGUGGGGAGUCUCACUCCGGCCAGCCCAGCACUGAUAAGAAAGGUCAAACAAACAGAAGCGCCACACGAGAAUUUGGGAGCACAGCUCGUGGUUCUAAGACGCAGCUACAAGGAAUGAUUAAGAUAAAAAUAUUUAACAGAACUGUACAGCCCUAGAUUUUGCUGAAGGGGUAGUAGAAAGUGGAGUUUGAAGAGGUGCUUUACAGAACUGAAUACACACCGAGCGUUGUUGACAACUGAGCUGCUCCCAGCAAGAUCAGAACAGAGGUUUAUUCUUCCUUUAUCAGAUUUGCCUUCCAAGUCUCUUUAGAGCAAAAGCACCGCCACAUACACACAAAAGUCUCAUCUUUAAAACCAAGGGCUUUGCAAUAAGUUUUUCCUCUGGAAAAAAAUGGAGGGGGGAGGAAGUGGAGGUCGAAUGAUUAUUAUUUUUUUCUUUUACAUAUAUUCUUCUGUCUCUGUGUCUUGGAAAGGGGAGAUUCAUCAACAGGCUUUUCCUCACCCCCUGAAGGUGAACACUGGAUAUGGUUGUACUCUCUCCAUUAAGGGACUAAAGUUGAAAUAAACACACAUCUGCCUGCUGCCCCCUGCCAGAAGAAAGGGGAGGGGAGGAAAAAACUCUACCAAAAAUCAAGAUGCAAACACUAAUUCUACAAAUAAUCUUUCUGGUACCAUAACUGGACUGAAUGAUUUGAUACUAUACACACCUAUUUUGUUCAGUCUAUUAACUCUGCACAGCAAAAAAAAAUAAAGAAUUCAUAAACUACAUAAAUACUUACUGAAGGCUGUUUCUCAAACUUCUAAUCCUGUCUAAACUUUGAUAAAUACUCCCAAACUCUUCUGAAAUCGAAACAGCAAGAAUUAAACUAGAACUCUCAGCAACAGUGUUAAUCACUGAAGAAAAGCAGUAAAACAAAUGAGGCUAUUUUGUCCCCUGAAUAUGGACAUUUUGAUACAGCACAUUUCUGCAGAUUUCUGUUCAAAAAGCAGUUUUUCCUACAGAGCUAAAUAUCCUCAUUAUAAAGUUAAAAAAAAAAAAAAUCCUUGCUUAAGGAAAAAAAAAAAAAAACAAACCAAAAAAACCACAACCAAAACCAAGGGAACAUUAUUCUUCAAAAAUUACUGAAAUGCUUUCUUUUAUUACCCCUCGGCCAAGAAGGCCUAAGUGGAGAUAAAUGCAAAUUUUGGAUGGAAACAAUGGCCUAUUUCUCAAGCUGUAGUGACUGCUAAUCAGAUUUAGAAAUCUGUAGGAAAACAAAAGGGGAAAGAAAGGAAAAGGGAAAGAGGAGGAGAAUAUGAAUGAGACUGAGAUGAAGAGAGAGGUAUGAAGGAAAACUUCUUUCUCCCACAAUUAAAUAACAACAACAACAACAUAAAACAAAACUAAACCAUGUUCCCUGUAACUGAGGACAAGGCUUGCAUCGUUUGACAGUCAGCGAAGAGUAAUUGUUCAUGCUUUUGUUAAUAUGUUCCACCAGGAUUUCUCUGAGCACUAGGAGCUGCUCACUGGUUUUGCAUAAUAAAGCCAACCUGAGAUCAGACACAACAAAACUCCAUUAUUCCCACACGUAUCUCAGUACAGAAGUCAGAAACUGCUCUUUGGAAUUACUGUCAUGAUCAGCACAGAAGGAUUUACAGAUGUAAUAAAGCCACGAGAAAGCAUCACCAACACCAUCUCUCCUUCAUUUUCCUCCUAGAACAACUACCUUUUAAAGGAGGAAUCACAAAGCUUAGUGGGGUAGAGCCCAGAUCAGAACCAAGGCUUUUAUCACAUCAUUAAAUUUAUAUCAUAUAUAUUUUUUAAAAUAUAUAUCAUGUAUAUAAUUUAAUUGAUCACAUUUGCUGAACUCCUGAAAUCUGGUUGAUAUGCACUAAAUGGAAGCGAGAUAAAUAAGCUGAGAGUGCUCCAAGGAAAUCUGCAUAUAGUUUCUCAAGGCCAAGCUGAAAUUUUCUUAUGCAGCAGAUGCCCAAGGGGUCUUUCAAUUUUAAGACCUACCUGGGAUGGGAACUGCUCCAAACCUUUUUAAAUCAGGCACAAAACCCCUUUCCAAUUACCUAAUUUUACCACAAUAUCCAUAGCAAAAUAUGCCUCCCUAUUUAUCCCUAGUUUGCCACACAAUACUUAGAGAUUUUUUUUCUCUUUUUUUUUUUUUUUUUGGUUGGUUGGUUUGGUUAGGUUUUGGGGGGUCUUAGCAUUUUUUUUCUAUAAUAAAGGGGAAAAAAAUCAAACAAUCUCUAUCUUGAGCUAUUUAUGAAGUCUCCAACUCUGAGGUGUCUACGCAUGUAACUCUUUCACCACUUGACUCUAAGAAGUGCUGAUAAGAAAGGACAUGUACACAUACCAAGUGCUUUAUUUAAACCACUUUCCCACUUCUUCAAAACAGAAUUUCAGUAACCUGGGAAAAGUGGUAAAUUAAUUUUUUUAUUAUUAUUUUUUAAUAUAUUUUGGGUCUGAAAUAAAGGGAUAUUUCCCAUCAUAGGAAAGAUAGAAUUUCUUUCUUUACUCUCCUCCUGUUGAAGCAAGCAAUGUCACCUUAAAGUGUCAGGUGGAAUUUAUUUCACUAAGCUAACAAUGCUCAUUUCCUUACCCUGUUGUUCCUUUAAAGCUUUGAGAGUCUACACACAGAUGUCUCUGAAAUGUAGUUCAUUUUAAACACAAGGAGGGAAGGGAAGAUGAGGAAUAGACAAACUUAUCUCACCAGAAAAUCUUUAUAGAAGCAUGUGUCCCUGAAGAAGAAAAGGCUUUAUGCUUAUAAUUCCAUUCAAUAUUUCUUUUCAAACAUUUGAAUAAUGGGCUUUACAGAACAUCUUUUUGAUACUAACUUAUCUUUAUAACUAAUAAAACCCUCUUACUGGGCUUUGUUACUUACAUCUAGAAUCCACAAAGUGUCUUUUACAAAUAAUAACCAUGGCUAAUUAUACAUAGUAAAUAACCUCAGUUGUCAAGGCUCCCCAUACAUCACUUUGCUAAAUAUUAAUCACAGCUUUAAGCUGUCUAAAAGCACGACAUUGGAGUGGGGGAUCUCUCCGGUAAAGGAUCCCGAACUAUCCAUCAAUAUCCCUUUUCAUAAAGAGAGCUGAUUAAACCUUCCUGGCCAGGGCUUUUAUGAGUUCACAUGCUGGUUCUCCCUGUUCCCAGGAAAUGGGAACACCAGCCCACCUUCAGCAGGGUGGGAGAGUUCUCAGCCUCCCCACAUCCACCAGGAGCCUGACGUGGCACAGCCGAGCCCGGGCAGGCAGCAGGAGCUGCACCAGCUUGGAUCUCCUCUUUCUUAAUUAGGACUUGAAACAAUAGGUGGGGAAAACUCAGGACCAAUGGCUAUUAUGUAUUAGCUUUCAUUUCUGUGCAUUGAUUGAGCUUAUGUUGUUUUAUGUGUGUGAUGAAAGGGCAAAUCAAAACCCAUUUCUCUUUCUUGUCAAUUCUCUUUCUCUUUUUCAACUAUUUAUCUUUGUAUUGUAUUGCAGCAACAGAUGGCACAUUAAAAAUGAAUUCACUUUUUGGGAAGUGUAUACUGUGGAGCUUAUUCUUACCAUCUAAAAUGACGAUGUAAUUAAAUUUCUUUUGGAAAGGUACCUAUAAAAUACAGUAACAUAAUGCCUACUUAAGGAACAAGACAUUUUACAGUAGAAGCUCUUGGGGAAGAACACAGGUCUUCCUGGCAUAAUAACUCUUUUAUCCUGGAUAUUUUCAUAUGAAUUGCUUACCUAGUUUAAAAAAUGUAUGCAUAUAAAUAUAUAAAUAUAUCACUCAGCUUAUUUCCCUCUCUGAUUUUCAUAGAGGAACCAGUUUCAAGUGUUUUCUACCUUAGUUUCUCCUGGCAUGUUUACAAACAAUUCUCUCAGCAGGACACACUAGAUAAGAUUAUCAUUCUUUAAAAAAUAGCUCCCAAUAAAUUCAAAUAAAUAAUGUUAUUGCCAGCAAGAACUGUACAGUAGGUCAGUUUACAUGCAACACUAUCAAUGUACACUUAGCAAGGUGCUUAGGAAAAACAACCUCCCAGUCACAUGAAAAAUUGUUUCCAGUUGCAGGCUCAUAGCAUUUUAAACCCUACUCAGGCGAUCCCAUUUGAGGAAUAAGAAACCAGGAUAACACCCAGGUACCAAACUUGCCUCACCAGCAUUAACACGUUUGCCACAAACAGAAAACAACAGGUUAAAUUCCUUCAAAGCACAGUCCCUAAUUUGGUGGCAAUUAAUCAGCUCAGAUAGGAGAAUCACAGGAAUAUCAGCUUUAUAGACCCAAAAUAAACAGCAGCAUGAAAUACAUCCCUUUCCUAUGAUCAACAGCGUCCAACAAUUACAGUGAUAGUCAUUAGCAGGCUGCAGAAAAAAGGGAAGCGUGUGUGUAGGAGGAGGGACAGGUCAUGCUGAAGCUGCCUUUUUAUUAAUCAUCAUUAGAGGAAGGGAAAAGAAGAAAUAUUAAGUUUCCAUUCUUAUUAAAUGUAGUAGUCAUUACUUUUUUAAACUUGAUUACCUGUUUUCAGAUCCUGAAAUCACUUUCGGAUGCUUGAAUGAAAAAAAAAAAACCCAAACAAACAAACACCAAAUAUAUAAAAACACCCUUCAACAGAGCAGGAACCCACAAAUCAUGGAGAAACAAGCAAGAUCACAGGAUGUGAUAGUGUCUGAUAAUGUUCUAUAAAGUUUCAGUUAUACCACCUUUAUUUUUAUUGUUUUCCUAUGCAGUUCCACUUCGCUACAUUAGCCUCUCUUUACGGAAAAAAAAAAAUCAAUUUGGAGGAAUUUACCCUUUAAUAACAAAAAAAAUAAAAGUAAAAAAAUCAAACAUCACUGCAUCUUCACUUUUUCUUUAGCUUAACAACGUCAAAACUAGACACUACCUUCACCUACUUUAAAAUAUUCCAUUAUAUAGGACAGAGCUAAUAAGCUCUGAGAAAAGGGAAUGGAUGGGUUUCCCACCACUGAGGUGGUUUAAAAAAUACAGAAAACCCUACAUGCUCCCCAGUCUUUAAAAUAUUGCAAUAUGAAUUUGGGGGAUUUUUUUUUUUAAAGUGCUGUUGUUAGAAAUUUCCUGUGCUUUCAUGAAAGACGGUAUUUAAACUGUUGUAACUUGGCCCAGGCAAAAGCAAUUUUCAGGAGGACACUGAAAGGCAAAUAUAUACAUACAAGGGACAGGUCUGCUAACAUGUUAAAUAAACCACACUUACACACAGAGCUUGACAGUUCCUUUCUAAAAUAAAUACAUUUGAAAGUAAAUACAUUGCCCUGUUGAGUCAGGUUGCAUUUCACAUCUCUGUUCUCCCUCCUCAAACCCCCCCAACAGUGUGUCAAAGAUGUUUUCAUCCCCUUGUUUGUCUGUCUCCCCUAAUCAGGACUCUGUUGUUGUACUGAGCAAGUCGGGGCAUUUAGUGAAAAUCAAGAUGGAUUUAGUUUGGAAUUAAGUAGAUCCCCAUGACAGGAAAUAUUAAGAGAUGAUGGAUGUCUGACAAAUAUUUAAAUUAAAAAAAAAAAAAAUCAACUCCCAUUUCAGAAGGCAGUCUGCAAAGCUAGAUUUAUGAAACUGAACUUUAAACUAAAAGGAACAUAUUUUUCCAGGCUUUAUGUAUUAGCAACAUUGCAUUUAAUUUAGAGAUUAAAUAAACACUAGUCUGAGGCAGCCCACGAGGGCUGAAAUGCUGCAUGAAGGCAGGCUUACAGUUUUGAGGCUAUGAAAUAUGUCUCCUGUUUUGACACUGUUGUAAUAGCAUAGUUGUUCACUUUCCUUGUUUCCAUGGGGUUUAUGGUCCAUAAAGUUUAAUAACAAUCUUAACAGCUGAACAGUGAGCACACAUCUCUGGGAGGCUUCUGUAAGAAACGGGAUCCGAGUUUUAUCCACGUAAUUUUUAGUGGUGGUACAUAUGUCCUGUCCUCACCCCUGCCCACGUGUGCCCACAAGACUAAAGAAGGCACCAAACGACACUGAUUCACCUCAGGAAAGAGGUCACAUGGCCUCACAUCCUCCAGGAGCUGAGUGAACAGCACUUGAAACACCGGCUCAGGUUAUGAAAUUGCGGAAAAAGUUUGAUCAGUAGGUCUCACAAGGAAAACAUCCAGGAGCACCCACAAAUAGCAGAGAAAAUUCAAGCCUGUAAGCCUCUUUUUCCAGAAAAGACACAUCUGGUUUUAUCUUCAGAAGUAGCCCAAAACAGACAGUAAAAGGGCUGAACAAACCACAGAAGGCUCCUCACAAGAUGGCAGGUUCCCAAAACACCUGCAACACACCUCGAACCUCCAUCUCACUCCAGCCUCCCGCUCAUCUUUGGCAACUGCUUUCUUUCCAGCUACCAAAAUCAAAAACCCAACAGCUAGAAGAGCUGAGAAACAUAAGAGCACUAAAACCAAUGUGGGAUUCACUUCAUCUCCCCUGGCUCAACAGAUGAUCCAGGGUCAGCCCUGCUGGCUUGUCUGGGCUCUGACACGAGUGUAUGAUGGACCUGCCUUAUGGACUGGGCUCUUUCCAGGACAGGGAAAGCAGUGCCACUGAUUUGUGAUCUGGAUCAGAAAGUAAAAUUUCCACACAGAAAUCGUGCAAUAUUGGUGAAAAUUUAACCUGAGAUCUGUUUUAUGCAGCCUGCUGGGAAGUUGUAGGUGAUACAAGCAACGUUGUUAGAAAAAGAAGACACCCUCAUCGUGCAGCUUGGCUUUGACUUUAACUUUGAUUAAUUUGUGACUGCCUUGCACUGGAGUCCCACAUGUUGAAGAGCUAUGUUGGUUCAAACCAUCUGAAGAUAAGGCUCUCUGUCUACUAAUAAUUCCACCUAUUCCACCAUUUUCAUGAUUUUUAGGGGUCUUUUGAAAAGUAAAAGGGAACAUUCAACUUUCAAACCUGAAUUUACAUAACUAUUUGUAAGGAGGAGCUCUGUACUAGUACAGAAUAUUAAAUGACUUCCCCCUUUUUAAAUAAUUGAAUAGAUUUCAACUUGAUUGUUUCUCUUUUAACAUUUCAGUAGAUCAUUUUUUUUCAAUGAAUUUGACACAUCAAGUAAUAUCAGAGUAAAUCUACCUAAAAUAUUUACAAUUACUUGCAAGAUAUUUUCACAUGAACCAGUAAAUUGAAACUUCCUCUCAGAGGAGAGACAUAAAAAAGUCAUUUUUAUGGUGGUUAUUGUAAUUUUAAUAGGCAAUUUCAUAGGUAAACAGAAGUGCUUGAUCUCCAUUCACUACUGUAUAACAGGCUGUGCUGCAUAUCUAAUGGAAUCACAUGGAUUUGUGUACAAAAUGAACAAGAAUUAUAAAUGGCUCCUUCUGUGA